Molecule: ribosomal RNA, 301 nt
Filed under: uncultured bacterium
Lineage: Bacteria
Description: partial 16S ribosomal RNA
Rfam family: Bacterial small subunit ribosomal RNA
Source: RNAcentral
CAGUCGCCGCGGUAAUACGUAGGUGGCAAGCGUUGUCCGGAAUUAUUGGGCGUAAAGCGCGUCUAGGUGGUUAUGUAAGUCUGAUGUGAAAGCCCACGGCUCAACCGUGGAGGGUCAUUGGAAACUGUUAAACUUGAGUGCAGGAGAGAAAAGUGGAAUUCCUAGUGUAGCGGUGAAAUGCGUAGAGAUUAGGAGGAACACCAGUGGCGAAGGCGGCUUUUUGGCCUGUAACUGACACUGAGGCGCGAAAGCGUGGGGAGCGAACAGGAUUAGAUACCCGCGUAGUCCCUGUCUCUUAUAC